AUUCUGUAAUUAAACUACAGGAUUGUGUGACCCGGUUUGGGUUUGUUUAAUUCAUCACCGAUUUUUAUGAAAUUAAACAACAAAAAAACCUUUUUUCCAGAAAGGAAAUGGGGUAG
Regulatory RNA element from Dickeya dadantii 3937, 116 nucleotides. It matches the Rfam family "Soft rot Enterobacteriaceae Fwd 6 3'UTR". From Rfam's summary of the family: From bacteria cultured under starvation conditions. The record is from Rfam. NCBI's taxonomy places the organism in Bacteria, Pseudomonadati, Pseudomonadota, Gammaproteobacteria, Enterobacterales, Pectobacteriaceae.